Pezoporus occidentalis (night parrot) is the source of this 5336-nucleotide long non-coding RNA. RefSeq lists it as uncharacterized. The transcript has 2 exons. The record is from RefSeq and is a predicted model, not a curated record. NCBI's taxonomy places the organism in Eukaryota, Metazoa, Chordata, Aves, Psittaciformes, Psittacidae.
CCUAAAGAGUUUCUUUUUUUCCUGCCCUUGUUCCCUUUAUCACUUACCUGUAUCAUCUUGUAUUGAAGCUCGGUGUGCUCUUUUGUUGUGCCCUUAAAGAAAGCAGUGUGUAUGUAUUCUUAUGAGUAUUCAUGGUCAUGAAGAGUAUCUCCUAGAGAAGGGCAUGUGGCUCCACACCAGGAAUUUCACUUCUUGUUGGGAAGCUUGGAAUGGAAAUAAAAUGCUGGGCUGCAAAGUUAUUUUGUGGGCUGAAUAAAAUGGAAGUGACCCAGCGCUAAUAGCACUUAAUGGACUGUGCUGUGAUCAGGUUGGAUGUUCCAAGGGGUCUUUGAAUCCCUGUGACAGGAGAUACAAGUCAUAAAUUCAUCAAUCUUGCCCUCUGUUUAUGACUUGCUCUUUGUGUGGAGAAUCCUGUAUUCAGACCCUUACCAAAGAAAACCCAUCCCUGGGCCUUCAGGUGGUGAAGCACCAAUAGAUCACAAGUUACAGCAGCUUUUCUUCUUCAUAUUUUAUAUAAAAUGAGUUGUUUCUGAAAGCUGAGGAGAUGUUCCUGGUAUGGAAGCAUUUACUUGGUCAUAUUUGAACCGGCUGGAGUUUGUGCUAAAAGCUUAAGGAGUAUGAUUUCCUGAGGAGCACUGCAUUGUAUAAAGGCCAAACCUAAGGCAUUACUGGGAUUCAGAGUGAUGAGAAGGAAAUGGGAGCUGCAGGGUCCUAUUCUGCAGGAUCAGACCCCAAGAUAUAACUGCAAUAUUCUCAUGCUGUUCUGUGCCCUUUCAUAUAUGGGAACAAUAACAGUUAUCAGCCCUUUGCUGAUAUUAGAACUGUGUAUUUUGCAUGGGUACCAUGUAAUUUUUUGUGCAGAAUUUAGGAGGUUAUGCUGUGCAUAAUACUUGUUAUCAAUAUAAUAACUUUUAUUGUUAUAUACCCAAGUGUUGUGAUUUUGUUGUAGUAAAAUGGUAUAUCUAUGUAUUUCAUCAUAGGAUGGUUGUAAGGGACUUAAAGCUCAUCCAGCUCCAACCCCCUGCCACAGGUAGGGACACCUUCCACUAGAGGAGGUUGCUCCAAGCCCCUGUGUCCAACCUGGCCUUGAACACUGCCAUGUUUUGUAUUUGCUCUAGUCAGAAACUGGAAAUUGAAUGGGAACAGCUCAAUUUGUGCUGUGUUCAUUUCACAACAGAAAACAUCAAAUCUGGCUUGGUAUAAAUAAUAAUCUCUAGUACUGACUGCCCUUAUGGCUUGAAUUUUCCUGGACUGGAGGGUACAUUCUGAAGUCUAUAAACUGAGGUGGCUUUUACAAGGCUUUUGGAUGAGCCCCUGUUUUCAUUGUCCGUGUGCCUUGUUUGCAAAGAGCAGAAAAGGCAAAGGAUAAAGCCUGAGCUCCUUCCGAGACAAUACAUGAUCCUUCUGGUGAAAACAGAGCUCUAAAAAGGCCCUUGUGCAGACAGGGAAGAACUCCUGUAAUCUUGAGCCCUGGGUACUUGUAAACAUCCAUUGCUAAUGAGCCUUACUCUUCUCUGGAAGGGAUCAAACACAUUUAAUGCUUUUCAUGAAGAUGCCUAAUAAGGCACAGUUGAAUGAAGCAAAGCUGUCAGUGGAGCCUUCUGUUAAGUUUCUUAGUAUGAAUGAGUCAAAACCCCAAGUGUUGUCUGAGCUCUCCUCCUUGGCUCUUUGGGUUUGGUAAAGAUUCGUGGUCAGUAUUAGCCUGAUUUUUACUCUCAGUUAGGAGACCUGUUCUUGCUGUGUGAGCCCACUGAAUUGUAGACACAGAAGAGUGCACAGAGUGUGUUAAGGCAACAGGAAUUACACUCCUGUUGUUGUUCUGGGGGCUGUUGUGACAGAGGAUGUUUUGUUGAAUGGCAGGUAAGAGGUGUAUUGUGGAGGCAGCACAGCAUGUGGCUACCUUCAAAGGAGACUCAGUGUAUGUUGGUCUUUCCUCCGCUUAAUUAUUCAAGUGGGUAAUUUGGUUUGAGGGCAAAAUGUGUGCCUAAAUGAUGUUAUUCCAAAUAGCAGCAGCAAAGAAUUCCUGCAUGUUAAGGGAUGCCAAUUAAGCAAGAAUAAUUGUGAUUAUUUUCUUUUAAAGUAGUGCCAUGCAGCCAUCUGCAAAAGAGCGCGAAGAUGAGGGAGCCAGGAAGAUACAAUAUUGAAACCCGAGUAUAUUGGUGAAAAAAAGGGUUGUGUUGCUGGCAGAAAUCGCAAAGAAGUGUUGAGCUAAGUGUGGCCAAAAUACUUUCUUGUAGAAGGUGUGUCUUGCUGGAAAGAUAAAGCUUUUCUUCAAUAAACUAUGGUUGAUUAUUGAAAGUAAUGUGAACUCUGUCAAAAUAUUAUAGUUUCAUAGAAGCAUGGAAUGGUUUGAGUUGAAAGGGACCUUAAAGCUCAUCCAGCUCCAACCCGUGCUGCGGGCAGGGACCCCUUCCACUGGAGCAGCUUGCUCCAAGCCCCUGUGUCCAACCUGGCCUUGAGCACUGCCAGGGAUGGGGCAGCCACAGCUUCUCUGGGCACCCUGUGCCAGCGCCUCAGCACCCUCACAGGGAAGAGCUUCUGCCUUAUCUCCAACCUGAACUUCCCUUGUUUCAGUUUGAGCCUAUCACCCCUUGUCCUGUCACUACACAAUCCCUUGUGCUUUUCCUGAGCAGUCAGUUUGGUGUUAAGGGAACUGUUCCCAUUCCUGUCCCUUCGGUUGGAGAAGAAUUCACUGAGCCUCCUGGAACAGUUUUGUUGCUUGCAGGGAUGUUUAAUGCAUUAACAUAUAAUUUAAUGCAUUCUUAAUUAACUGCUAAUGUAUGGGGGGAAAUCUUCAAAGCUUUUGGACUGAAUUACAACUUGCAACUCCGUGUGGUAACGUGUUAUGUGACGUACAGGUUAGGUGUCAGCAGGGUUUCAACAUGUCCUAGUCACCUCCUGGCUCUCCUCCUUGUCCCUGUGGAGUCAGAGGACUGGACCAGUGGCGUCACGUUAACUCCUGAAGCUAUGAGUAAGAUGUAGAAUGCAUGUUUAUGAGGAAGCAGAUCGUGAUAGACGUGUGUGUGAACACUUUCACCUCAGCCUGCCUGCGAGUACAGGAAGUUCAGCAGCAAGUCUGGGUAAGCACAGACCUGUGUCUAGAAACACUUCCAGGCUCGUUGGGAAAUGAGUAAGUUGGUAAUUGGCUGGCCUAAUGGGUGUCAGUCAAAUGCAGGGCUGGGUACAGUUGUUUAGGAUGUGGGCAGAGAGUAAGUAGUGCUGGUUUAACUUGAAAGUAGAGUAAGUAGGGUUGGUUUAACUUCAAACUCUUUAAUGGCAAUAAUGACUUAAUUUUUCCCCAUGGCUAUGGGAAACCAAACUCUUUAGUGACCAAAACUAAUGGGACAAACCAGUUGGUCAACAGUUAUCGGUAGUUAUAAUAGUGGUAAUGUUGCUAGUAUAAUAAUAACACCGACUAUUGCUCAUAUAAUUAAUAAUAGCACUUAUUAUUGCUCUGUGGCACCAACGGAUGAUCUGCUUGUGCCCUUCCUUUUGCCAGGUUCAGAAAUCAAUUCUCUUGCUGUUUUGGGGGUUGGCUCUAGGUAAGGACCGGAGGGCUCUAAAGCUCAGCUUGCUCCUUGCUGUUUGAGCCAAUGUGCUCGGAUUGUGCUCCGAGCAAUCAGUGGUCUGAAGCCCAGAGAUCCUUGGCCUGCAGAACUGAGGGUGCUGUGUACCAACAGCAGAGCUGCCCGCACCAGAGCACAUGAAGAAUCAUGCUGCCUCUCCCCCUCAGCGCUUGGAAGCCUUGAAACGUUUCCUCUCUGAAGGAGGUUGGGGUUGGGAAGAGGAGUUGCGGCUGCAGGAGCGCUUGGGCAGUGCUCUGAAGCUGCAUUUGCUGUUUGCUUCCUGAGUUGUGAACAAGCUACCAGGAUCACUGAACAGGAGGGUGGGUAUCUGCAGUUUCACCCCCCUUUUGAGAAGCAUUUAGUCAUGCAGCUAAAAGUUUCCAACCUGCUCCCUUGAGGGAGUGCAGGUGGUUUUUUAGGCAUCUGAGCAAACGGCAUUGAAUGCAAGAUGAUACGAAUGUGUUUUGUAUAACCAAGUUUUGCCUUUAGAAAGUGAAAUUAAUGACAAUUCAGCUGAAGGAUGGAACUUUCCAUGUUCUUUGCACAGCCUGUAGCAAGAUCAGUCUGCUCUUCUUUUCUGUAGAGAUUUAGCCUCUGCUUUUCAAGCUAUUUGCAGUCACAGAAAUGAGAGAGAAAACUAAAAUAGGAACAUGCUAACAGCAAGAUAAUGCCAAAAUAAUACCCAAAAAAGACAAAAUAGCUACUUCAGCAGAUAACACCAGCGGAUGUUUCAAGUCUAGAUUUAGCAUAUGAAUUUGCAUAUCUGUUCCAUAGCAUUGAACAGGUCAGAGCUGUUGGGCUGACAGUGGGGUUUCGCUGUGGCUAGAGCCUGUGAGCGCAUCUAGGAUGUGCUGCUGUGCUCUGAUGUUUGAGACGUGAGGGGAUUGAAGUCCUAGAUUGAAGUCUUAAUUGUAGAGUUCCAGUUUACAGCUUAUUAGAUGUAGGGUUAUUACAUACUCAGGUUUAUUAGGGUUGUUCCCUUGGCUGACUUAUUGCAUACUUGAGUUUGGAUCAUCAUUUAAGCGCAUGAUCAUAGAAUCAUAGACUGGUUUGGGUUGGAAAGGACUUUAUAGAUCAUCUAGUUCCAACCUCCCCUCUAGAUAUGCCUAGAAAUUGGGGGGCAGGGAACAAUGAUUUGAGCUUUAGGCUUUAAUUACAGCAUACCUGAAGCUCCAGGAAUGAUGUAGGUGUCUGAGGUGGUUUAUGGACAUGGUGGAUACAAUCACAGGCUACAAAACGCACGUUCUUCUGCCUUCAUUUUUGAAGCCCUUUGAUCUGUGCCUAUGGAGUACGUGCCUGUGGCUUCACUACUCUUUUGUUGUUGCUUUUCCUUGGAAAUGAUUUCUUAUUUCUUGCCUAGAAAUCAGCCAUAGGUAUUUUUAAAGGCACUUCCAUCUGGUAAUUACUUCUUUACGUAGAAGAGCCAUUGGUCUGCUUUGAUGUACAGCUGAGAACCUAAAUCUUUCUUCUAAAGCAUUGUAUUCUCUCCACUGGAAAAGUGCAGUACACUUGUGGACUGUCUCUAGGUAUCCUUUCUGUGAGGAUAGUGUGUUUUAAGGGGUUGAGUCACCUACAAGAGGUCUGUGCCUAGGACCGUGUGGCCCUCGUUGAAUUAAAUAGUAAGUCAAAGCAAUUUCAGUAAUUCUUUGUAAUGCAGGAUUAGGGAAGAGAACAGAUAUUUGUAUGUUAAAGCUUAUCUUCUGGUGAGUGCUUUUCCAAAGAAUUUCUAAUUCAAUGAGUUAAUAAAUGUUCCUAUAAAAGCAAAUGUAA